Molecule: long non-coding RNA, 1567 nt
Filed under: Homo sapiens (human)
Lineage: Eukaryota; Metazoa; Chordata; Mammalia; Primates; Hominidae
Description: HSALNT0258540
Source: RNAcentral
CAGAUUUCCAGUCUGGACAGCUACGACGCCCCACUCAGUUUUCCAGUCACAUCCCAGGAGCCCUAAAUACAUCCAGAUAAGGACGAACUAAUUCCUGUGCCCCAGCCCCCAGAGGCAUUCUCUUGAUCCCGUCUGGCACAUCAGAGGCCAUGGGAAGUGCUUUUGGAUCUCCCUACGCACUGCCAUCUGCCUUGGAGACCCCCUAGGCAGCCCCAUCUUUCCUCUGAGACCUGAGCCACCCGGGACCCCAACACCCCGGGGUGAUCGGCUGCGGCCUGGGUGAAGCCUACUCGCCUCAAGCGCACGGGUGUCCUCACAUCCUCACGGAGAUGAGCGGAAGUGUGCGGCCCUCUCCGGCUCGUUCGGCUCAGCCAGCCCAGCCAAGCAAACCUCGCCCAGGGCCCUGUCUCCUGGCUGAGGCUUCUCAUGGUCACCGGACCUCUAUUCCAUCACAAAUCCUUCGGCUCUCAUCUUCCAAACUCAUCCGGAAUGGAACCUCCUCUGACACCACCAUGGCCACCGCCCUGCCCUGAGCCACCGUGGUCUCUUGCCCGGGGAGACCCAGGUAGCCUCCUGACCGGCCUUCCUCCUCCCACUUCUUCCCCCACUGCCUCUUCUCCAUAGUGGGCCCUGUAAGCCCCAUCCCAUCAUCCCUCUGCUCAAAGCCCAGGGCUCCUGCUUCACAGAGAGCAAAAGGCAAUGCCCUUAACAUAGCUUGCAAUGCCUUGCUCACACUGAACCCCACCCCAGAUCUCAGCUCAUUUCCAAGCUGCAAUCCCCGACCCUGGCUCUCUCCAUCCUCCUUCCUGGCUGGACUGUCUGGUCUUAGCACUUAACAAUACACACAUUCAGCUUGUUCAUCUUGUUGCGGGACUCCCACACCAGAAGAUGGAUUUUGUCUGUCUUGACCCCCCCAUGGUGUCUCUGGCAUGUAAGCCAGUGCCUGACACCGUUCAGUAUGUAGUGGUUGAAUAAAUGGAUGAGUGUGCCCAGGACUGACAGGUCCCCGAAAUUAUAGUUGGGGCUUCCCUUGGGGUCCUGGAGCACACCGAGGGCAUCUGACCCCAGGGCAGGUUGCCUCAGUUUCCUCACCUGUAAAUGGAACUGUAGUGGGGAACAGCUAAGCCCCUGCACAGUUGUAUGGCUCCUCAGGGCCCCGGUGAGGAGGGGCUGGGGUUCUGCAGAGGUCCACCCCUCUGGGAAGCCCAGCCACCUGCAGCCCUGGAGACCAGGGAGGGUCCUGGCUGAGGCUGGGUGAGCAGGGAUUGGUUCCUGAGGAGUUGAGGUUCAUGAUGUCAACUCCUGAGUCACUGAACACACAUCUGGCCCACAAACCCCUGCAGGAGCCGGACUCUCAAGUCAAAGAGAGAGCAGAGGAAGGGCCUGGUCAGCAGACCCAGGGGGGACUCCCACUUUGGAGGAUCUGGGUGUGUUCCUUGGGUUGUGGAUCCGGCAAGGGAGCUGGCCGAGGUUCCUGGGUCAGUAUGAGAGGCCCUGUGAGUCCAGCCGCCGAUGGGGAGGCAGACUUCCCUGGCCGUCUGUCUGUUUGUCCACCCAUAGUGGAGCA